GGAUAUAUAGCUCAGUUGGUAGAGUGUUUGCCUAACAUGCAUAAGGCCCUGAGUUCAAUCCCCAGCACCACCA
Molecule: transfer RNA, 73 nt
Filed under: Ictidomys tridecemlineatus (thirteen-lined ground squirrel)
Lineage: Eukaryota; Metazoa; Chordata; Mammalia; Rodentia; Sciuridae
Description: Spermophilus tridecemlineatus (thirteen-lined ground squirrel) tRNA
Rfam family: tRNA
About the family: Transfer RNA (tRNA) molecules are approximately 80 nucleotides in length. Their secondary structure includes four short double-helical elements and three loops (D, anti-codon, and T loops).
Source: Rfam by way of RNAcentral